Molecule: ribosomal RNA, 428 nt
Filed under: uncultured bacterium
Lineage: Bacteria
Description: bacterial SSU rRNA
Rfam family: Bacterial small subunit ribosomal RNA
Source: RNAcentral
UAGGGAAUCUUCCGCAAUGGACGAAAGUCUGACGGAGCAACGCCGCGUGAGUGAUGAAGGCUUUCGGGUCGUAAAACUCUGUUGUUAGGGAAGAACAAGUGCUAGUUGAAUAAGCUGGCACCUUGACGGUACCUAACCAGAAAGCCACGGCUAACUACGUGCCAGCAGCCGCGGUAGUACGGAGGGUGCGAGCGUUAUCCGGAUUUACUGGGUUUAAAGGGUGCGUAGGUGGGCUUAUAAGUCAGUGGUGAAAUCUCCGAGCUUAACUUGGAAACUGCCGGUGAUACUAUAGGUCUUGAAUUAUCUGGAGGUAAGCGGAAUAUGUCAUGUAGCGGUGAAAUGCUUAGAUAUGACAUAGAACACCAAUUGCGAAGGCAGCUUACUACAUAUAAAUUGACGCUGAGGCACGAAAGCGUGGGGAUCAAACA